This is a long non-coding RNA of Bradysia coprophila, 164 nucleotides long. Lineage: Eukaryota; Metazoa; Arthropoda; Insecta; Diptera; Sciaridae. The record is from RefSeq and is a predicted model, not a curated record.
UGAAAGUUUUUGACUUUAUUAUAUGUUUGCUUACAGUCGGAGAAAUGUAGAUUUCGGGUUUUUUUAGAGAUAUCAUCAUUUCUAUAAUUCUCUCAAUUGCCAUUUGAAAUAUCAUGCGAAAUGAGAGAAUACAGAAAAACGAUGAUGUCUCUUAAAAUCCCGAA